Molecule: ribosomal RNA, 465 nt
Filed under: Porphyromonas gulae
Lineage: Bacteria; Pseudomonadati; Bacteroidota; Bacteroidia; Bacteroidales; Porphyromonadaceae
Description: bacterial SSU rRNA
Rfam family: Bacterial small subunit ribosomal RNA
Source: RNAcentral
GAGUUUGAUUCUGGCUCAGGAUGAACGCUAGCGAUAGGCUUAACACAUGCAAGUCGAGGGGCAGCAUGAACUUAGCUUGCUAAGUUUGAUGGCGACCGGCGCACGGGUGCGUAACGCGUAUGCAACUUGCCUUACAGAGGGGGAUAACCCGUUGAAAGACGGACUAAUACCGCAUACACUUAUUCGGUUGCAUGACCGGGCAAGGAAAUAUUUAUAGCUGUAAGAUAGGCAUGCGUCCCAUUAGCUGGUUGGUGAGGUAACGGCUCACCAAGGCAACGAUGGGUAGGGGAACUGAGAGGUUUAUCCCCCACACUGGUACUGAGACACGGACCAGACUCCUACGGGAGGCAGCAGUGAGGAAUAUUGGUCAAUGGGCGAGAGCCUGAACCAGCCAAGUCGCGUGAAGGAAGACUGUCCUAAGGAUUGUAAACUUCUUUUAUACGGGAAUAACGGGCGAUACGUGUA